Long non-coding RNA from Xiphophorus couchianus (Monterrey platyfish), 1607 nucleotides. RefSeq lists it as uncharacterized. The transcript has 4 exons. Lineage: Eukaryota; Metazoa; Chordata; Actinopteri; Cyprinodontiformes; Poeciliidae. The record is from RefSeq and is a predicted model, not a curated record.
UUCAGCAAGACGACACAAACACGAAGCUGGGCUUCAUCUGACACUCCCCCUUUUUACUCGGUAUGCGCCUAGAUGCCUGGCUUCAGAUGGCCCAUCACUAGUGCUACCAACAGAUGAGCUUUAACCUAACGCUGUUGUUGUGCUGCCUGGAUUUUGGACUUUUGUAUUUCUGGAUUUGCCAUUAAAAUUCACCUUUAUUCGAGAAGGACCUCGCUGCAGCAAACAGAAAGGGGCGGGGACGGACUUUUCCGUCAGUCCCAUACCUUAUUUGGAAAUGGGACUAUUGCAUUCCGGAAAUGAAGGGGGUGCUAUUUUCAUAAUCACUAGUAUAAAUACCUUAAGACGCGGAGUUAAGAGGAAAGGAAGAAGAAAGAAAGAAGUUUGAGAGGUUCUUCCACUGGUGUUCGGCACACGAUCAACAAUGCAAACCUCACAAAGUCAACAAAAGAUCCACGUAUCUAUUUGCAACAUGAACAUAAAUAUUGCUGUCCCCUUUGCUCAUACAAGCUACAGAACCACAUAGCACAAACUGCUAUGGUUCAACAUAUCGAUGCCUUUAAAUGUUCUUGAAGCUGUUCUCCAGGAGGUGAUACCAGCACAGGGAGACUCAGCCUACCUCACCUUGGCAUUGACCUGCAAGUGCUUUGAAGCCGUUGAGUCUGACCCAGUUUUCAGGAAGAAGACUCACUUUGCUUGGCUGGAUGGUGAGAUCAACUGGGGCAAAUUUUCAAAAACAUUCAAGGCAGAAAACCGGAUUCCUUUUGCGGUUGUAACGUGUUUUUCCUGCAACCGGUAAUAUAAAGACUGUGGGCUUCACUGGCAAUGGAAGACGAGGAGAGUACCCUGGUUACUACUGUGAUGGCCGACCUGGACACUGCACUGGCUGUCAAUACUGAAUGCAAGGAGAAUAUUAGUUGCUUUCCACAGUCUUUCACACAUUUCAGUUGUCACACAUUGUUCGUUUUUUUUGUGACAAGCCAUUUUAAAUCAUUUCUGCUAAAGAAUAUUUGCCUUUUGACUUGUGCAGUCAUCCUUUUUAAUAAUGUGUUCUUUCAAUAUUAUUUACAUUUUUGAAUGUUCCUUUUGUUGUAGUUCAGUUGAUUUGCAUUAUUUAGUUUUCAUAGAAAUGGUGCCGUUUCCACACAAAGUUGCAUUGUGGCUGUAAUUUGUUGGAGAGAGUAGAACCAAUAAAGUAGUUGUAAAUAUAUUGUAACAGCGUUGUUUAACAAUAGGAUAACCUUGUUUUAAAAAUUUUAAAUGCAAGCAAAGCUAAUAACUUGCAAUAUUUUAUAUGUGUAAAUAUAAUGUUUCCUGACAUACAGCUAAGUUUAUGUUUUAACAGAAUCAACUGUUGGGUUUUAUUGUAAUUAAGUAAGCACAUACAGAAACAUAUUGUUCAGUUACAAAGUCAUAAUACAAACAUAAGAUUAAAGGUAUCCUGAGCCGGACUUUAUGAAGAGAGAUGAGCCCGGCGCCGUUAGGUUGGGAUGGAGACACCUGAUCAGGUGAUUGGCUGAGCAGGUGAGAUAAAGACAGUUAUAGUUAGAAUUUACACACUGGUUUAAUUUAUGUAACCAGUGACUUUAUUCAAAAAGGUUUUCAUAUAG